This 495-nucleotide ribosomal RNA is filed under the name Triticum aestivum (bread wheat). RNAcentral's name for it is "partial small subunit ribosomal RNA". Lineage: Eukaryota; Viridiplantae; Streptophyta; Magnoliopsida; Poales; Poaceae. The record is from RNAcentral.
AUGCAGAUCUUCGUGAAGACCCUAACGGGUAAAACCAUCACGUUGGAGGUGGAGGGCGGCGCCGACACCGUGGACAGCGUCAAGGGCAAGGUCUGGGACAAGGAAGGGAUCCCGCCGGACUAGCAGCGGCUCAUCUUCGUCGUGAAUCAAUUGGAGGACGGUCGCUUGGGCGACUACAACAUGCACAAGGAGUCGACACAACACGUGGUGCUCCGCAUCCAUAGCAGCACCACCAUCAAGGUCAAGACGCCAACCGCCAAGGAGAUCGAGAUCGACAUUGAACCCACUGACACGGCCGACAGGAUCCAGGAGCGCGUCGAGGAGAAGGAGGGCAUCCCGCCAGUCCAGCAGAGGCUCAUAUUCGAUGGCAAGCAUAUGGCCGGCGACAAGACAGGCGGCUACGUGCUCCACCUCGUGCUCGCCCUAGGGGGAUGCCUUCUAGAAUUUGGGUCUUACGGUCGCUUGCUUUCCCAUGAGGGUGUAGCUUUGGUUUGA